RNAcentral lists this ribosomal RNA (601 nucleotides) under Tympanogaster deanei. RNAcentral describes it as "SSU rRNA". It matches the Rfam family "Eukaryotic small subunit ribosomal RNA", at positions 22 to 602 of the family's 1831-position model. The record is from RNAcentral. Lineage: Eukaryota; Metazoa; Arthropoda; Insecta; Coleoptera; Hydraenidae.
AGUCAUAUGCUUGUCUCAAAGAUUAAGCCAUGCAUGUCUCAGUACAAGCCAAAUUAAGGUGAAACCGCGAAAGGCUCAUUAAAUCAGUUAUGGUUCCUUAGAUCGUACCCACACUUACUUGGAUAACUGUGGUAAUUCUAGAGCUAAUACAUGCAAAUAGAGCUCCAACCGGAGACGGAAGGAGCGCUUUUAUUAGAUCAAAACCAAUAGGCGGCGGUUCACGCCGUCGCCGUUCUCUUUGGUGACUCUGAAUAACUUAUUGCUGAUCGCACGGUCUCGCACCGGCGACGCAUCUUUCAAAUGUCUGCCUUAUCAACUGUCGAUGGUAGGUUCUGCGCCUACCAUGGUUGUAACGGGUAACGGGGAAUCAGGGUUCGAUUCCGGAGAGGGAGCCUGAGAAACGGCUACCACAUCCAAGGAAGGCAGCAGGCGCGCAAAUUACCCACUCCCGGCACGGGGAGGUAGUGACGAAAAAUAACGAUACGGGACUCAUCCGAGGCCCCGUAAUCGGAAUGAGUACACUCUAAACCCUUUAACGAGGAUCAAUUGGAGGGCAAGUCUGGUGCCAGCAGCCGCGGUAAUUCCAGCUCCAAUAGCGUAU